This 67-nucleotide transfer RNA is filed under the name mouse gut metagenome. It matches the Rfam family "tRNA", at positions 6 to 65 of the family's 71-position model. Rfam says of the family: Transfer RNA (tRNA) molecules are approximately 80 nucleotides in length. Their secondary structure includes four short double-helical elements and three loops (D, anti-codon, and T loops). Further hydrogen bonds mediate the characteristic L-shaped molecular structure. tRNAs have two regions of fundamental functional importance: the anti-codon, which is responsible for specific mRNA codon recognition, and the 3' end, to which the tRNAs corresponding amino acid is attached (by aminoacyl-tRNA synthetases). tRNAs cope with the degeneracy of the genetic code in two manners: having more than one tRNA (with a specific anti-codon) for a particular amino acid; and 'wobble' base-pairing, i.e. permitting non-standard base-pairing at the 3rd anti-codon position. The record is from RNAcentral. RNAcentral also lists the same sequence under 1 other name.
UCAUAGCUCAGCUGGAUAGAGCGUUGGUCUACGGAACCAAAGGUCGGGGGUUCGAAUCCCUCUGGAC